CGGUGGUUUGUCGGGCCAGGUCGGUGCCAUGUUCUGUUAGAUAGUGUAAUAUUGCACUCGUCCCGGCCUGACAAAACACACG
RNAcentral lists this microRNA precursor (82 nucleotides) under Xenoturbella bocki. RNAcentral's name for it is "microRNA xbo-mir-92a precursor". Its record names the gene xbo-mir-92a. The record is from miRBase by way of RNAcentral. Lineage: Eukaryota; Metazoa; Xenacoelomorpha; Xenoturbellidae.